This 62-nucleotide microRNA precursor is filed under the name Caenorhabditis briggsae. The record is from RNAcentral. Lineage: Eukaryota; Metazoa; Nematoda; Chromadorea; Rhabditida; Rhabditidae.
CAUGACACCCAAGCGUGUCUGGAAUGACAGAAUGGUCCUCCGGACCGCUGAUGUGGCAUGAA